GAGACAAAUGCAGACGAGCGCGGAGCUCCAGGCAGCCUCUGGGCCCAGGAUAGCACCUGCGUACACUGUUCCCUAAAUCGGAGGCACUUAGCCUUUCGGGAAACAGAGUCCGGGUAACUUUUGGGGAACAGAGGCCAUCCUUUUUUUUUGAUCCCAUUAUAUAUCCUUUUUUUGAUAGGUGUAACACUGCUUUGCUGUUUUAGUAGGUGCUUAGGAUUUACAGUGUGCAAUGUUAACUUUAUCAUAUUUCAUCUUCAAGUACUAUGUAGAUCAUUCCGCCUACAAUAUAAGAAGCUUACAAUAGGAUAUUUCCAUUUCUCCCCCAACCUUGGUUUUCAUACUGUUGUUGCAUAUGAACUUUUACAGAUGUUCUCAAUGCCACAACUAUCCCCAAUUUGCUGUCUUUUUACCUCUGCCUGCAGGACUUUCUUUAACAUUUCUAGUUGAACUUUUAUUUUUGGAGGAGUGUUGAAAUUAAACAGUACAUAGAUUUUAGUGGGAACAUCUGUAGUGUUUCCCCAUUUCCUGACUUCAGAACUGAGGUAUAAAUAUGUGUGUGUAAAUUUUUUUUUUUUGGUACCAGGGAUCGAAC
RNAcentral lists this long non-coding RNA (592 nucleotides) under Heterocephalus glaber (naked mole-rat). RNAcentral describes it as "lncRNA (ENSHGLG00000040008.1)". The record is from RNAcentral. Lineage: Eukaryota; Metazoa; Chordata; Mammalia; Rodentia; Bathyergidae.